GUUAAAGCUGUCAUUAAUUUUUUAACUGAGCUAUUUUUCUUUGUGUCAUUGAGUUCUAAGACCACAUAAUAUAAAUGUUUACCAGACAUGAUUUGCAAACAUUUCAUUGUAUUUUCUGGUUUUUUUUUCCUUUGUUAUUUUUCACAGUGUCAUUUGAAGCAGAAGUUUCUAUUCUUAUAGUCUACUUUGUUUAAUUUUAAAAUGCUGUUCCCUUGUGCUCUUUGGUAUCGAUUCUAAGGAAUCAAGCCGGAGAGAUGGCUCAUUAGUUAAGAGCACUAGCUGCUCUUCCAAAGGUCCUGAGCUCAAGCCCCAGAGAGCACAUGGUGGCUCACAAUCAUCUAUAAUGGUUAUCUGUAUAAAAGAAGGAAAGAAAGAAAGAAAGAAAGAAAGAAAGAAAGAAAGAAAGAAAGAAAGAAAGAAAGAAAGAAAUCUUUUAAAAAAAGGUAUCAUUGUUUAAUACAAGAUCACAGAGAUUUAUUUUUGUGUUAUCCUCUAAAGUUUUAUCUACAUCUGUAUCUAUAUCUAUUUAAUCUAUAUCUAUCUUUUUAUACUUAGGUCUUUGGUUCACUUUGGGUUAAUCUUUUACAUAGUAUGAUUAGGGAGGCAAACUUUAUUCUGUAACCAGUGAUCCCAGAAAAGUUUUUUGAAGACUAUUCUAUCCCCCUAUUGAAUGUUUUAACUUAUUCCUUGCCGGAAGUCAAUUUCCCAUAGACGUGAAGCUGAUUUCUGGAUGUUCUAUUCAAUCCCAUCAGUCUGUAUGUUUGUUCUCAUACUAGUAAAAUUCUCCCUUGAUUGCAGUAGCUUUGUGGGAGGUUUUAACUUGGGAGAAGUGUGGACAUUCCAACCUUGCUCCCAUUUUAUGGUUGGCUCAGUCCAACCCUGAAACGCUGGAGCCCUUGAAUUUCCACAUGGGUUUUAGCUUUAAUACAUUAAUCUCUAAAAAUAAGCAAGAUGGAAACUUAAUGGGGUUUAGCUGAUAGAUUAAUUUGGGGAUGUACUAGGAAUUCAGCCACAUUGAAUCUUCACAUUAACAAGCAUGACCUGUCACCAGCAACCCCUUCAAGGGGACCUUUAGCCCUUCUAGAAUUUGCUGAGCCCUUCUUCGGUUAUGGAAAGGCAGAAGAAAGCAGUGAUGAGCUGUCAUGAGUCAGUGUCAUGUGUUAGUGUCAUGUGUCAGUGCUACCUUAUCAGAUAGGGUUAGCUUGUACAAUGACUUCCUCUGCCAUCAGUAGGAGUGACUCAUGGACUCAAGGCCUCUAUCCCUGUUGUUCCUUCUUGCCUUGUGAACUUGGCUUUAUAGUACGAAAGUCCACCUUUCUAUGUCCCUUAUCACUGACCUUGAAGCUGGCCUUAAAUAACAUCUGUGAUUUCACUAGAGCUUUUGAGUUUUGCAAAAUGGACAGACCAGUAUUUCAUUCUCAGUGACUUUAGUGUGAAAAAUAGCACUAAUUAUCCGGUAAAUUCAGAGUGAUUCUAACGGAGAGGCCACAUUACUUGAUUUGGGUCCUACUCUACUAAAUCUACUUUUGUCUUAUAAAUACAUAGAGAAUUGGAGGUAUCCUUGAACAUACCGGUCAGAACUCAAGUGUCAACCUGCUCUGAUGAUUUAAAGCCAGGUUAUAAAAGGCAUACCCUAGUAUACAAGAGGAAAACAAGAGAUGAGCUGGCUUAAAGCCAGUCAGAAAAUGUGUUCCUGGCAUUCCACAGUCUGGGUCAUGGGGUAAGACAAAUUAUCCCCCAUCUGGCCUUAGACCUAUCAGGCUCCUGUGGGAAUGCACUGGCUUUGCCACACAAUGUGGUCGUAUAAUCCUCUCCCCAUCUGUGACCAGCCUGCUUCCUGUCUCAUGUCAUGGAUAUCUCUCUCUCUCUCUCUCUGUCUGUCUCUUUGCUCUGUAGCUUGUACUUAUGUCUCUAAUUUUGCUCUCAAGCCAGCCCAGUGGUCCUAGUGACUCAUUUCUCUGGGUCUUUUCCAUGGGCCUGGGUUUAUAAGUAGCUGUCAGUCAUUGAGCCUGCUAAAAGGUUAUUCCCCACACUCAUAGUGCUCACUUGGUACAAGCAAACAUAUGUGUGUGUGCAUGGGGGUACAGCUUCAGAAAGUUUAAACAUAUGUGUGUGUGCAUGGGGGUACAGCUUCAGAAAGUUUAAAACCACAUCACAAUCGGAAUGAGAGUUGGGUUUUUUUUUUUCUAAACAGAAAGAAGAGUUUCUGUAUAAUAUUUACACAGGACAUCAUUUUGUUGUCGGCCAUGACUAGACUCAUCUUCUUUUUCUUUUCACUGAUAACUUUGUUUUGACUAAGUUCCUUGUUAAGAUUCUUUUUACAACAGGAAGGAAGCUCCCCCCCCCCCCCCAGGGGCCAGGUUUAAGCCCAGGAAGGCACAGGAAUCAGUCUACUCUUUUCUUUGUUGCUGAGCUUGUUCUAAGUGCCAUGCGAGGGAUGGCUUGCUGGAGAGGGUCCAGCCUGAUGUAAUGGGGAGGCGUCCUGCACCUCAGUGAACUGCAAUCCAGGGCUUAGGCUCUUCCCCCUGACUGAGGAAAUAAAAAUGGAACUAAGUGUUCAGCCAGUGAGGACCCCGGCAGGGUUGGCCAUGAAGGGGAGAUUGGAAGCAGAGGGGAGGACAUUAGUAUACGUAGACUGCAGAGCGAUCACCUCCUCUUCAAAGGAAGUCUGAUUUCUUAGCCUGGAGUCAUCACCACCCAAAACUUUGCAGUGUUUUCUCAGGUUUGUAUCUUCUUAAAGGAACUGAGAUUUUAAUAACAGGAAGAUCAUCAGUCAUUCUUAUUUUAUUUUUAUUUUUUAUUUUUUUGGUUUUUCGAGACAGGGUUUCUCUGUGUAGCCUUGGCUGUCCUGGAGCUCACUCUGUAGACCAGGCUGGCCUCAAACUCAGAAAUUCACCUGCCUCUGCCUCUCAAGUGCUGGGAUUAAAGGCGUGCGCCACCACGCCCAGCUCAUCUGUCGUUGUUAUUAGGGGAAUGAGGGCCUUGUCAGCUCAAAUGGCAUAACUUCAUUGAAAUUAUAUAUGUAUAAUAUUAUAUAUAAAUAUAUUAGCAUAUAUUUAUAUGUGUAAUAUAUAAUAAGUUGAUAUAAGUUAUAUGUGUGUAUACAUAAUAAUUAUUAAAUAAAGAAGAGCCUACAAAUUUAAAAGGGAGCAAGCAAGGAUGGAUAUAAGGUGGGGUUUGAGAGAGGGAAGGGAAGGAGGAGAAAUGACAUAAUUAUAUACAAUUUCAAAUAUUCUUUUAUAUGAAGGAAAAUAGAUCUACAUGUUAGCAUGUUUUAGCAAGGUAAAACUGUGAAUGUUAACAGAAACUCAUUAAUAUUCUAACUUCUCUUUCUCGAAUUAAUGCACCACUUUUACAAAGAAAGGAAGUGCCGUUUACCAUGCGUAGAUAUUUAAAACCUCAGUUUGUUGACAAUUUGAGUGAAUAAAUCGUUUUAUUGGAAAGAAAGAGACCUCGUUGGAAAGCUGAGGAGAUGAAAUGCCGCUGGAACUGGAAUACACAUAUUAACUCUUUCGAAUCUGAGGGGCACGUGUUACUGUGAUCAAGGAUAUGGAGGCUGUCUUAGGCUUUGUACACAGCAGUAUACACACUGCACACACAUACACACGUGCACUCACAUACUGUAUCUGGUGUGUGCAAACACAUCCCACACGGUUAUAAACUGAAACUAGCUUUUCAGAAAUGAUUGAGCAAUUCCAGAUGAGAUAUAACUAGAUAGACAGAUUUUCACAGAUAGAUGUACGUGGGUAUGCAGUUUUCAAGAGUAGUAGUGGAGUGACAGGCUUUAUGAAGUUUUUCUUAAAAAU
RNAcentral lists this long non-coding RNA (3806 nucleotides) under Mus musculus (house mouse). RNAcentral's name for it is "long non-coding RNA chr18:57265392-57269198". Lineage: Eukaryota; Metazoa; Chordata; Mammalia; Rodentia; Muridae. The record is from RNAcentral.